ACAUGAAGCCGGAAUCGCUAGUAAUCGCGGAUCAGAAUGCCGCGGUGAAUACGUUCCCGGGUCUUGUACACACCGCCCGUCACACCAUGGGAGCCGGAAAUGCCCGAAGCCAGUGACCCAACCUUAGGGAGGGAGCUGUCGAAGGUGGAGCCGGUAACUGGGGUGAAGUCGUAACAAGGUACC
RNAcentral lists this ribosomal RNA (183 nucleotides) under uncultured bacterium. RNAcentral describes it as "partial 16S ribosomal RNA". It matches the Rfam family "Bacterial small subunit ribosomal RNA", at positions 1318 to 1500 of the family's 1533-position model. The record is from RNAcentral.